UGGGGAAUUUUGCACAAUGGGGGAAACCCUGAUGCAGCGACGCCGCGUGAUUUAGAAGGCCUUCGGGUUGUAAAAAUCUUUUCUAUGGGAAGAAAAUGACAGUACCAUAGGAAUAAGGACCGGCUAAUUACGUGCCAGCAGCCGCGGUAAUACGUAAGGUCCGAGCGUUGUCCGGAAUCAUUGGGCGUAAAGGGUACGUAGGCGGGUAAGCAAGUUAGGAGUGAAAUCCUAUAGCUCAACUAUAGUAAGCUUUUAAAACUGCUCAUCUUGAGGUAUGGAAGGGAAAGUGGAAUUCCUAGUGUAGCGGUGAAAUGCGCAGAUAUUAGGAGGAAUACCGGUGGCGAAGGCGACUUUCUGGCCAUAACCUGACGCUGAGGUACGAAAGCGUGGGUAGCAAACAGG
This 402-nucleotide ribosomal RNA is filed under the name bacterium. RNAcentral's name for it is "partial 16S ribosomal RNA". It matches the Rfam family "Bacterial small subunit ribosomal RNA", at positions 355 to 776 of the family's 1533-position model. The record is from RNAcentral.